UCCGAGUUAUCCCCGGCAGUCUCCCAUGAGUCCCCACCAUUACGUGCUGGCAACUAAGGACAAGGGUUGCGCUCGUUGCGGGACUUAACCCAACAUCUCACGACACGAGCUGACGACAACCAUGCACCACCUGUGUACCGCCCCGAAGGACACCGUAUCUCUACGGCUUUUCGGUACAUGUCAAGCCCAGGUAAGGUUCUUCGCGUUGCCUCGAAUUAAGCCACAUGCUCCGCCGCUUGUGCGGGCCCCCGUCAAUUCCUUUGAGUUUUAGCCUUGCGGCCGUACUCCCCAGGUGGGGUACUUAAUGCGUUAGCUUCGGCACGGAUGGAGUCGACACCACCCACACCUAGCACCCAUCGUUUACGGCGUGGACUAC
This 376-nucleotide unclassified non-coding RNA is filed under the name uncultured Actinomycetes bacterium. RNAcentral's name for it is "uncultured actinobacterium contains 16S-23S intergenic spacer region". Lineage: Bacteria; Bacillati; Actinomycetota; Actinomycetes. The record is from RNAcentral.